AAGGAAAGAGAAGUCCGGAUGGAGAGCGAUUCUUCAGCCGAGACGGCCAAGGAGUCGGAAGAAAAGAAACAGAGAAUUAAAGGAAAGUCAGCCGAAGAGUCACCGGCUGAGGUGAAUAUGGUAUAUGCUCUGCCUCAAUCUUUUAAGGCAGAGUUUAUUGAGUAUGAAGAGUUUAAAGAAGAGAAGGAAGAUGGGUUUAAAGUAGCUCAGUUGCAAUUGGAAGAUGUUCAACUAGCCGAUGCAGUGGUUUUUGAGAAA
RNAcentral lists this long non-coding RNA (258 nucleotides) under Ananas comosus (pineapple). RNAcentral's name for it is "long non-coding RNA (ACOM_LNC030580)". Lineage: Eukaryota; Viridiplantae; Streptophyta; Magnoliopsida; Poales; Bromeliaceae. The record is from RNAcentral.